This is an RNA transcript of Papaver somniferum (opium poppy), 2564 nucleotides long. RefSeq lists it as uncharacterized. The transcript is spliced from 4 exons. NCBI's taxonomy places the organism in Eukaryota, Viridiplantae, Streptophyta, Magnoliopsida, Ranunculales, Papaveraceae. The record is from RefSeq and is a predicted model, not a curated record.
AUGAUUUUGAACAAUGGAUUAUAGGCUGGUUCCACUCUGAAGUUAGUAAUGUUUCUUCUUUAUGCUUGAGUAAUGAGAAUUUGAUAUGCAGAUUUAUUUGUGUUAUUUGGUACAUCAGGAAAGACCGGUGCUCUUUGGUCUUUCAAGAUAAGAAGCCUCAUCUGCAAGUUACUGUAGCUAGAGUUAAUUGGUUGCUUAAAGAAUGUUCAGUAUCAAUUUCCUAUUGCUAAUUAAUUGCAGAUCAAGAAUUGGAGGCCUCCGGACAAGGAAUUUGUGAAAAUAAUUAUUGAUGGUUCUUAUAUAUCACAGACUAAACAAGGAAGUGUAGGUCUAAUUCUGAGAAAUUUUGCAGGUACAUGUUUAGGAGCAAAAGGCAUAUGCUGUGAAGAGGAGGUGCAAGAGGAAUAUGGGACUGAGUAUUUUGAAUGCAAGGCACUAGAAUUAGCUGUGGAAUGGAUGGAGGAACUGGAAAUUACUAAAACAUUUUUUGAAAUGGAUUGUGAAUAUGAUGAGCUACAUAUUCACUGGUUCAAUCAAACUUUAAUUGAAGUAGUUAAACAUAAAUUCAGUAGUAGAAAUUUUUGGUUUUGCAAGUCUGUAAACAGAGUAGGUAAUAAUGCAGCUCAUGAACUAGCCAAAAAAGCUAGACUCCAGGCUAGAUUUUUUAUACUUAGACAAUUUUCCAGAUGAUAUUCUCACGCUGGUCAAAAAUGAUCUCUGUAAUUUUAAUUUCUAUCAGUGAUCGACUUUCUUUAGUAUCAAAAAAAAAAAAAAAAAAGUCAGAUCUUCGACCCCUUCUUAGUGAGAUCAUAAAAAAACCAUAAAGAUAAUCUCUUCCCCCCACUCCCCCUGAAAUUACUUAGGGAUCGGUUGGAAUCGGUAACUGAAGAUGGGUUUGUUUAGUUCAAUCUCAAUUUCAACUCAAUCAUCAAAUCAGUGAUUUAAUUUUGAAUUUGGAGUGAGUUUGGAGUGAUGGAGACAACAAAUUUUGUACCACCAACUGAUUGAUGAAUAGAGUACUGGGAAUAGAGGAAGUACAGAGAAAAGGUCGGAUUCCCCCUGAACUUCUGUAUCUUGUUUCUUUGACUUCUGUAUAUUUUAGCAAUUCUGGUUAAUAAUCUUCAUUUACUUUACUUUUUUUUGGAAGUUUUGUAGAUUCUUUUUGUUCUGUUGAAAAUCACCUUAUUACAAACAUAGAUUGAAAAUAUUCAGGUGUUGUCACAAACAGUCAGAGAGAACAUCUGGAAAACUCAAGUCUAAAUCUAGCACAUUAUCCUCCUUCAUAAUGGAAUUCAGUCCAUGGUUUUACUUGUUCAGCUGGAAUAGGUGGCUGAUACCUGUCUUGUUAAGAGAUUAUCAGGAUUAAAACAUGCAGUUGGAACAUAAAACAAACUAGCUCGAAGAAACAUACAGUUUUGUCCAUUAUCAUCAAACAAUUAUUCAACAGUUAUUAGUUGAAGAAUCAAGAAACAUAAAAUCUUCGGAUAAUCAUCUGUCUUCCUUUUAUGUGCUUUGAGUUCCGUAUCAUCAUUUUAUGCUUGUAAUACUUCCAGUAUGCCAUAAUGUUUCAGUAGUAUGUUUCCAGUGAGAGGGUUUUUUGCUUUUUGUAAUAUAUGCACGCAGGUGUUAUACAUAUCCGUCAAGCAAAAUUAACUAAGGGGACAAGGGCCUGACUCAAUGCGAAAACGCCGAGUCUGGGAGCUCGACGUUAAGCUUGUUACCAUAAACUUAAAUUGUUGAUAUUUGUGAUCUAAUGCCAUUAUUACUCCUUUUAAGAGUAGAAUAACUUAUUUUGUAUACAAAAUCACCUGCUGCCACAAUUGCAUGCUGUUUCAGAGGCUUUCUUUCUCAUGUCAUGUUCGAGAAACCCAUUUGUUGAUGUUUCCAUGCUGAAUAAGCCUGCUGUCAGGAACACAGAAACAAAAGUUUACCGGGAAGAUCUGUUGAAGGACAGAUACAGGGAGCAUAAAAUUGAAGAGUUCACUGCCAUGGGGAAGGGAAUGAGAAGCCGCAAACAGGGUUGAUGCUGAAAUGGUCUAUGCUGGGACUGAAGCAGGAAAAAAAGCCUCAGUCAAAGAAGAAAGCACGUGCUCCUGAAGAAUUACAAGCUGUUACCUUUGAUGACAGUUCAGAUCCUAUUAAUAUGUGAAGCUUUAUAAUGAGCAGACCAGCUGUUUAAGUAAACCUUCCGGUUUUACCCUGAAAGAAAACAUCUUUCGGUUCCAAGCCAUUAAUCAGAACUUGCAACAUAUUGUUGAUCCACCGAAGUUCACCUCACCUUCCGAAGAACUCAGAGUGGAAGCUGAUCAACAAUCAACCCAGGAUACUGUUUCUGGAUGUGAGUUCCCCAAAUGAAAAGAUGGAGAUGAUUCCAGAGUUUCUUAAUGUUUCUUAAACAGAUCCACAGCCUCCAUCAGUUCUCUUACGUUUUGGAAAGGAUAGCUCUGAAGUUGCUUAGUCCAAUAAUUCAGCUGCCACAAGCAGAGUGAAAACCUUGUUGGUUGUUCUGUAUGUGUGUUUGGUCACUGAUAUAUGAUUAUUGGAUUCCUUUGUUGUGCGUCUAA